CCCUUAGAUGUCAUGGGCCGCACGCGCGCUACACUGAUGCAUUCAACGAGUUUUUCCUUGGCCGAGAGGCCUGGGCAAUCUUUUGAACGUGCAUCGUGAUAGGGAUAGAUUAUUGCAAUUUUUAAUCUUGAACGAGGAAUUCCUAGUAAACGCAGAUCAUCAAUCUGCAUUGAUUACGUCCCUGCCCUUUGUACACACCGCCCGUCGCACCUACCAAUUGAAUGGUCCGGUGAAGCCUCGGGAUUGUGGCUAGUUCCCUUCAUUGGGAGUUGGUUGCGAGAACUUGUCUAAACCUUAUCAUUUAGAGGAAGGUGAAGUCGUANCA
RNAcentral lists this ribosomal RNA (325 nucleotides) under uncultured eukaryote. RNAcentral describes it as "partial 18S ribosomal RNA". It matches the Rfam family "Eukaryotic small subunit ribosomal RNA", at positions 1470 to 1796 of the family's 1831-position model. The record is from RNAcentral.